GACGAACGCUGGCGGCGUGCCUAAUACAUGCAAGUUGAGCGCUGAAGGUUGGUACUUGUACCAACUGGAUGAGCAGCGAACGGGUGAGUAACGCGUGGGGAAUCUGCCUUUGAGCGGGGGACAACAUUUGGAAACGAAUGCUAAUACCGCAUAAAAACUUUAAACACAAGUUUUAAGUUUGAAAGAUGCAAUUGCAUCACUCAAAGAUGAUCCCGCGUUGUAUUAGCUAGUUGGUGAGGUAAAGGCUCACCAAGGCGAUGAUACAUAGCCGACCUGAGAGGGUGAUCGGCCACAUUGGGACUGAGACACGGCCCAAACUCCUACGGGAAGCAGCAGUAGGGAAUCUUCGGCAAUGGACGAAAGUCUGACCGAGCAACGCCGCGUGAGUGAGGAAGGUUUUCGGAUCGUAAAACUCUGUUGGUAGAGAAGAACGUUGGUGAGAGUGGAAAGCUCAUCAAGUGACGGUAACUACCCAGAAAGGGACGGCUAACUACGUG
RNAcentral lists this ribosomal RNA (497 nucleotides) under uncultured bacterium. Its description in RNAcentral is "partial 16S ribosomal RNA". It matches the Rfam family "Bacterial small subunit ribosomal RNA", at positions 28 to 507 of the family's 1533-position model. The record is from RNAcentral.